GAUGAACGCUAGCGGCAGGCUUAACACAUGCAAGUCGAGGGGCAGCAUGAGACGGAGAUUCGUCGAAGUCUUGAUGGCGACCGGCGCAAGGGUGCGUAACGCGUGAGCAACUUGCCCGUUUCAGGGGGAUAACCGGUGGAAACGCCGACUAAUACCCCAUAGUAUUGAUUUAAGGCAUCUUUUAUCAAUUAAAGAAAUUCGGAAACGGAUAGGCUCGCGUGACAUUAGCUAGAUGGUGAGGUAAUGGCUCACCAUGGCGACGAUGUCUAGGGGUUCUGAGAGGAAGGUCCCCCACACUGGAACUGAGACACGGUCCAGACUCCUACGGGAGGCAGCAGUGAGGAAUAUUGGGUCAAUGGUCUGACGACUGAACCAGCCAUGCCGCGUGAAGGUGACGGCCCUAUGGGUCUUAAACUUCUUUUGUAAGGGAGCAAUAAGGUCUACGUGUAGGCCGAUGAGAGUACCUUACGAAUAAGCAUCGGCUAACUCCGUGCCAG
Molecule: ribosomal RNA, 497 nt
Filed under: uncultured bacterium
Lineage: Bacteria
Description: bacterial SSU rRNA
Rfam family: Bacterial small subunit ribosomal RNA
Source: RNAcentral